RNAcentral lists this long non-coding RNA (398 nucleotides) under Homo sapiens (human). RNAcentral's name for it is "non-protein coding lnc-DTNBP1-16:14". The record is from RNAcentral. Lineage: Eukaryota; Metazoa; Chordata; Mammalia; Primates; Hominidae.
CUUCUCUGCCCUCCAUCGCCAAGCCCUACACCUCUGCGAAGACUGUGACACAUAAAGUCCUGUGUCAACGGUUGAUCUGUGCCCGCAGAGAGAGCCUGCUCCAGCCUCUUUGCUACAGCCUUGAGUCUUCUGCUGUGAUAGGAUGCUAGAGAGGAAAAUUUGGAAUUAGCUUUUAAAAGGAAGAGAAAUGACGGUGUAACCAUCUGCCAAAUACAUGGAAACAACAACAACAAAAACCUCAUCAUUCACCUGGCCUGGCAAAUAGGAGGAGAAAUUUCUUCCAGAGACAUAAGCAGGAGGAAGCUGGAGCUCUCUCCUGAGUGAUUGUCAGUUGCAGAGGAGGUGAAUAUCACAGGACAAGCAAGCGUGGGGGAGAAGACUGCCUAGACAUUCUAAAG